This 145-nucleotide unclassified non-coding RNA is filed under the name uncultured Coniochaetales. RNAcentral's name for it is "sequence contains ITS2". Lineage: Eukaryota; Fungi; Ascomycota; Sordariomycetes; Coniochaetales. The record is from RNAcentral.
CAACCCUCAAGCCCAGCUUGGUGUUGGGGCCCUACAGUUAUGUAGGCCCUGAAAGACAGUGGCGGGCUCGCUAUAACUCCGAGCGUAGUACAUACCUCGCUUAGGGCGUUUUAGUGGGAUCCGGCCUAUUUUUUAAUAUUCUAAU